AGCACAGAUUAAUGACGUGAGCUACCUGAAUGACUGAACUCAGUCAUCUGAAAGUGCUUCCCAGGAUGGUGAUGUCUUUACUCUAAGAUUUCCACAUUGCAAGUAGAACCGCUUGGCUUGAGGUAUAAAGAUUGACCCUAAAGCAAGAAGAAGAGAAUAGAAGAAAUGCUGACAUGUUAUAAGAAAAAAUUAGGGAGCAGUUAAGAAGAAAGGAAGACCAAUAUAGUAAAGAAGCUGAAAUGAAACAGCAACUUGAACUCACUCUCACAGCACUAGAUGGAACUGAAGACUGAGAAAUGAUCUGAAUCAGGUUAUAGAAGAGUGACAUGACUCAGAAGCAGCUUUCUGGAGAACGGAAUGCCAGAAUCUUACAGGAGGGAAUCCUGGCCAAUCACCCUGCCAAAGAAAAGCAGAAAGAAAUGGCUGAUAAGGAAAUGAACUCUUAGCCUAUCUUACUAUUUGAGACAUUACAAAAAGGUAUUGAAAGUUAUGGAAGCAGCAAAUAAUAUCAUGGUUGUCUAAGAAGAGCUCUCCAAGUUUUACCUAUCACCAUCUCUGUAUGCACUAGCUAGCUUUGCUCCCCCUUUGGGAUUUCUGAAGCAAGGGGGCAGCACGAAACACCUCGCCUGUGGUCCAUUUGAGGUGCAAGUUUCCCUCGCCCUGGUGACCACAGUAUGGAACCUGGCCCUCUCAGACAUGCUCCCACAGCCUGCUUCCUCGUGGGCAGUACUGCUAUGACCUAGGAAUGUGUUUGCAAGGCUCGAAAAGUGCAGGGAGACACGCAGCCCUGACUUUGCAAUUUAGGCCCUUGGAUCAGGCCUGGAGGUCUGACGUCUGAGAAGUGAAACACGUGCUGCAAGAUAGAGGCCCGAAAACUCUCUCUGGGGCUGCCUUUCCUGGCUCAAAGGAAGAUAGCUUCCCCAGCCGCCUGUGGGCUGAGAAUCACACACGGCUGGAAAGCGCUUGCUUGGAGUUUAUUUUCAGUGGCAGUGGCCCCUGAGCCCUGGUGCCUAGCGAGGGCUUCCACACUCAAAGGGAAAGUCAAAGCGACGUCCAAACGUCUGUUCCAUCACAUUUCCUCUGCAGGACAGAUCUAGUGAGCCUAGGUCUGUCUGGAACAUUCUUGGAUCCUAUGGGGACACAUUCUGUCAAGCUGGAUACUGGUCCUAGGGGGCAAAAUUCGCAUUUUUCUCUUGGGGAGCCCUAAUGAAGUGCGGCCUAGUAAAUGCUUGAAAAUCCAUCCAAUUGCUCUUUUCUUCCUUCUGACAGAGCUAGCUUUGCUCUCCUCUUUUGGAUUUCUGAAGCAAGGGGUUGGCCCUCAACUCCUCGCCUGGGGCCAAUUUGAGGAGCAAGGUAACCUUGAGGAGGUGGCCACAGUAUGGAACCCAGCCCUCUCAAACUCACUCCUGCAGCCGGCAUCUUCAUGGGCAGUACUGCUAUGACCUAGGAAUGUGUUUACAAGGUUCGGAAAAUUCAGGGGGACACAUGGCCCUGACCCUGGAAUUUAGGGCCUUGGAGCAGGCCUAGAGGUCUGAUGUCUGAGACAUGAAACAGUUGCUGUAAGAUAGAGGCCUGAAAACACACUCUCUCUGGAUGCCUUUUCUUCCUCAAAAGAAGAUAG
Dama dama (fallow deer) is the source of this 1621-nucleotide long non-coding RNA. RefSeq lists it as uncharacterized. Lineage: Eukaryota; Metazoa; Chordata; Mammalia; Artiodactyla; Cervidae. The transcript has 5 exons. The record is from RefSeq and is a predicted model, not a curated record.